AGAGUUUGAUCAUGGCUCAGAACGAACGCUGGCGGCAGGCCUAAAACAUGCAAGUCGAGCGCCCAGCAAUGGGAGCGGCGGACGGGUGAAUAACACGUGGGAAUGUACCUUUCGGUACGGAACAACUCAGGGAAACUUGAGCUAAUACCGUAUGCGCCCUAACGGGGAAAGAUUUAUCGCCGAAAGAUCAGCCCGCGUCCGAUUAGCUAGUUGGUGAGGUAAUGGCUCACCAAGGCUCCGAUCGGUAGCUGGUUUGAGAGAACGAUCAGCCACACUGGGACUGAGACACGGCCCAGACUCCUACGGGAGGCAGCAGUUGGGAAUCUUGGACAAUGGGCGAAAGCCUGAUCCAGCCAUGCCGCGUGAGUGAUGAAGGCCUUAGGGUUGUAAAGCUCUUUUGCCAGGGACGAUAAUGACUGUACCUGGAGAAUAAGCCCCGGCUAACUUCGUGCCAGCAGCCGCGGUAAUAC
Molecule: ribosomal RNA, 470 nt
Filed under: uncultured bacterium
Lineage: Bacteria
Description: bacterial SSU rRNA
Rfam family: Bacterial small subunit ribosomal RNA
Source: RNAcentral